CUUUGCAAUUGGGAGAGGAAUGCAUUGACUAAGAACUAGCAGAUUAGGAAUUUGGCAUAUAUAAUCCAGGUACAUCUGUGGAAAUUUGUUAUACUUGUCAAAUAAAGAAAGAAAAGAAAAAGAGAAGAGAAGGAAAGGAAGGGAAGGGAAAGGGAAGAGAAAGGGAAGGGAAGGAAAGGAAAGGAAGAAGGGGCGGGCAUGGGGAGGAAGUAAGUCUUUGUAUCAAGUGAAGUGUAGCAGUGAGGAGCAGGCUGUUUACAUUGGGGAGACAACACAGUGAGACCUAGGCACCUGGAAACAGUAUUAAGGAUGGGUCCACAAGCAGCUGUAGCUUAUGUGAAUUUGACCAAAAACACAGUAAACCAUUAACAGGAUAUAAAAAGUAAAUGAAAAAUCCAAUUGUAGUUAACUAAUGUAAAGGCACAUCUCCUUUUUUCUAAAUCUAUUUUCAAAAAAGUUAAGGAUGUUUAAAAAUAUGAGUGACUGAUUUUUAAAAUGGGUUCAUCCAUUUUUACUCAUCUAAUACAGAAAUACCUGUUCCUUGUGCUCAGGAUCUUCAAGGAAAGAGGAAAAUCAACUGAGGUGGGCAGAAGGCACAGAUAAGCUCACUGCCUAUUGGGAGAGAAAAGUCAUGUACAGGCAGAUACACUAUAAUUAUUGUAUUGUGCAGUAAGUAUAUGAUAAGUUUGAAAGUGGUUUAGGAUAUAAUAACUAUUUUUCCCAUUAAAAAUCUUUCUGGGAUGGCCACUAUGAAAAAUUACAGAAUAAUGGAAAAAGUUUUCUUGAUAUGAGAAAUCUAUCAUAAACAUGAUAUUAUGAAGAUGACAGCAAAGAACUACAAUCCUUGGCACUAAUUAAUAGAAAAUUUUACAUGAGAUAGGCUUUAAACACUUUUUUUCCCUAUAUUGCAUUUCAAAAAAUAAACAUUUAAAAAUGUUCCAGACUUACUGGACAGUAAACAAAUCCAUCACUUUUUUCAUCAAUGAAAACUAAUCUGGUCCCAUUUGGGUCGGGAAAAAUCUUUUUCACACUGACAGGAUGUCGAUAAUCAUUAACGAAUUGCCAGUCUUCAAUGUAGAAAUACUGAACGACACCAGUCUAAAAAAAAAAAAAAAUCCAGCCAUGAAAAUAUAAAAGGUAGUCAAGGAAAUCCUAACUUUCAACAUUUAAAUUAAACAUAUGUUCUAAUUUUAAGAGAAAAAUGUCAUGUUUUUGAUGAAGUAUCUAAGAAUAAUAUUUAGUAUAUGUGAAAGGUACAGACUCAAGAAAAUAAAUAAAAUGGGAAAAGCUGGGCGCAGUGGCUCUUGCCUGUAAUCCCAGCACUUUGGGAGCCCACGACGGGCGGAUCACAAGGUAAGGAAUUCGAGACCAGCCUGGCCAAGAGACCAGCCUGGCCAAUAUGGUGAAACUCCAUCUCUACUAAAAAUACAAAAAUUAGCUGGGCAUGGUGGCGGGCGCCUGUAAUCCCAGCUACUUGGGAGGCUGAGGCAGGAGAAUUGCUUGAACCCAGGAGGCAGAGGUUGCAGUGAGCCGAGAUUGCACCAUUGCACUCUAGCCUGGGCAAUACAGCGAGACUCUGACUCAAAAAAAUAAAAAAUAAAAAAUAAAAAUAAAAAUAAAAUGGGACUGUACCUGUGAUUAAACAGUCUAUUAAUUCUAACAUUCUUAGUGAUAUUAAAGCAUAAUUGAUUUUUAGAUUUCCUACUUGCUAGAAAUACCCCUAUUAUAUAGGAGUAACUUUUAAAUACAUUAUUUCAAUUUUUUGCUAUUAAUAAAUUAGAAAAUUAAUUUUAAGACAAAAAAAUCCACCUGAUAGAAUCAACUGAAUGUAUAUUAGCAAUGAACAUGUACAUACCAAAUUAAAAAUGCAAUACCAUUUACAAUUACUCAAAAAAUGAGAUACUUGGGUAUAAACUUAAACAUAACAUGCCCAGGACUUGUAUGCUGAAAAUUAUAAAACACUAAUGAAAGACACAAAAUAUUUAACUAAAUGGAGAGGUAUACUGUGUUCAUGGAUGGGAAAUUAACAUGUUAAUUAUUCCCAUCUGAUAUAAAGGUUUAAUAUCAUUCUAAUAAAAGAAAUUUCAACAAGAUUUUUUUGUAGAUAGACACACAAUUAUUCUAAAAUUUAUACAGACUGAUAAACUAGAAGAGCUAAAACAAUUUAGAAAAUAAAGUGGGAAAUUAGUCUACCCAAUUUUAAGGCUUUCUUUUUAUAGCUAUAGUAAUCAAGACUGCGUAGUAUUGGUGGAAGAACAGAUACACAGAUCAAUGGAAGCCUGAAAU
This 2286-nucleotide long non-coding RNA is filed under the name Homo sapiens (human). Its description in RNAcentral is "non-protein coding lnc-RFC1-1:1". The record is from RNAcentral. Lineage: Eukaryota; Metazoa; Chordata; Mammalia; Primates; Hominidae.